UAACUAGCCCGUAUUGCUUUGGCAGUACGCUGGCUUCUUAGAGGGACUUUCGGCUUAAGCCGAAGGAAGUGCGAGGCAAUAACAGGUCUGUGAUGCCCUUCGAUGCUCUGGGCCGCACGCGCGCUACACUGACGGAGCCAGCGAGUACUCCCUUGGCCGAAAGGCCUG
Molecule: ribosomal RNA, 168 nt
Filed under: Bulbithecium spinosum
Lineage: Eukaryota; Fungi; Ascomycota; Sordariomycetes; Hypocreales; Bionectriaceae
Description: Acremonium spinosum partial small subunit ribosomal RNA
Rfam family: Eukaryotic small subunit ribosomal RNA
Source: RNAcentral